GAACGCUGGCGGUAGGCCUAACACAUGCAAGUCGAACGGCAGCACAGUAAGAGCUUGCUCUUACGGGUGGCGCGUGGCGGACGGGUGAGGAAUACAUCGGAAUCUACUUUUUCGUGGGGGAUAACGUAGGGAAACUUACGCUAAUACCGCAUACGACCUACGGGUGAAAGCAGGGGAUCUUCGGACCUUGCGCGAUUGAAUGAGCCGAUGUCGGAUUAGCUAGUUGGCGGGGUAAAGGCCCACCAAGGCGACGAUCCGUAGCUGGUCUGAGAGGAUGAUCAGCCACACUGGAACUGAGACACGGUCCAGACUCCUACGGGAGGCAGCAGUGGGGAAUAUUGGACAAUGGGCGCAAGCCUGAUCCAGCCAUACCGCGUGGGUGAAGAAGGCCUUCGGGUUGUAAAGCCCUUUUGUUGGGAAAGAAAAGCAGCAGGUUAAUACCCCGCUGUUCUGACGGUACCCAAAGAAUAAGCACCGGCUAACUUCGUG
This 489-nucleotide ribosomal RNA is filed under the name uncultured bacterium. RNAcentral's name for it is "partial 16S ribosomal RNA". It matches the Rfam family "Bacterial small subunit ribosomal RNA", at positions 31 to 507 of the family's 1533-position model. The record is from RNAcentral.